Molecule: long non-coding RNA, 4786 nt
Filed under: Homo sapiens (human)
Lineage: Eukaryota; Metazoa; Chordata; Mammalia; Primates; Hominidae
Description: HSALNT0241895
Source: RNAcentral
UCAUAACAAGAGAAAUUUAUUGCUCACAGUUCUGGAGCCUGGGAAGUCCAAGAUCAACGUACCAGCAGAUUCAGAUGAAGGCGUGUUCUCAGCUUCAUAGGUGGUGCAUUCUUGCUGCUUCUUCACAUGAUGGAAGGAGUGAACAAGCUCCCUUGGGCCUCUUUUACAAAGAUGGCAAAGAAGGAGAGAAGAGAAGAAGUAGCCAGACAUUGGAAAGAAACAGCUUGACUUCAGAGGAAUGGCUUGAUGGUGGGACUUAGGAGAAGUGUACAGCAGGGGACUGCUGGACUCCAUGGGAAGAUCACCUUCCCACUCCAUCCCCCUUCCAGCUCCCCAUCCUGCUGGGAGCCACUUUCAUCAGUAAUAAAAUUCUCCGCAUUCAUCACCCUUCAAUUUUUUCAUGCAACCUUGGUUGCAAGGACUCAGGUGGAGAGACGAAGGAUCAAGCAAUGUGACUGGUAGAAACUGUGUUAUACAAGGUAAACCAAGAGAGAAUUGUGCAAAAAUGUCUUCAGGGUCACUUCUUUCCCUAACUUGGUCCCUCAGAGUUCUUUCCACUAGAUAUCCAGUGUGUUCAACCUAACUCCUAUCUGCAGUGGGCCUCCAAAUAUUGCACCCCUAUGGGCAGGGCUGUGUGUCAUUUCCCUGGCCCCUAUCUGGGUCAAAACUGUCAUUCCUCCAGGGACCUGCUGGGCAACUAGCAAACUAAUCUUCAAUGUAUUUUACCCAAGGUGUUAAUGACAGAUAAUGGCUUAAUGCAUUACCCCUCCCAGCUAACAUUUCCAUUUUAAUAGAGCCUUUAAAUGCUUUAACCUGAAGGAAACAGCAUGAAAAAUGCAGGGAUAGCAAAUAUCUGGCACCUUUGCUCCUUCCCUGUUCCUGGAAGACAUCUUCAAAUGGUCACUGAGGCUUUUCCUGCUAUGCCUGGACAUACCCUGAGAAGCCCAUAGGGCCCUGGGCAGCCCCUACCAGCCUAUGAUGGGAGUUACCAUGCAAGAUGAAAUCUAUUUGCCAACCUUAUCGUGAAACAAAUAUUUGUCCAGGAGUAAAAAGACCUGAAUUCUACUUUGGGGCUUUGACAUUACCUGGACAUAGGGCCUAAACAAAUUUAUUAGACAUUUCCAAGUCUCAGUUUCCUUACCCAUAAAAUGAGAGGACUGGCAUUAGAGUCAAGCAUUUCCAAAGCAUAGUUCUCAAUCUGCCAGGGACUCUCAAAAUCUGACCUCACAGCUCUCCAAGCUGGUUGCUGCUACCACGUACCUCUUCCCAUUUUUGCCUUGCUUCCCACAAGGGAAGGAAAUUCACUCCCAACUGGGCACCACCUUUCUAUCUCUAUUUGGGGACCUUCCUGUCCCUGAAAGGCCCUGGGAACAUAAUGUAAAGCAACUAUGGGGGCAGCUGCUAAGAAGCCAGAUCUUGUGACACUAAGAGUCCAGUCACGUGGUUCAGAGUCCACAGCAACCUGUGGCGACUAUGCAGUCAUCAGCCAGAGAGGCAGAGCCUCUGUCUGGAGAUGUGUCAGAAAUGGGUGUGACUAGUCCCAGACACAUCAAGUGAGGAAAAAUCAGGUGUGCAGAUUACGUUGUGUAAAUGCCUUUCUAAUUCUCAAUGCUCCAGGAAGGAAUCUCAGAGAUUAAAUUAAGCUGUUAACCCUCUAGGCGCUCCUGUCGUUUAUUGUUAAGGAAUUAAUAGGAAUGCGGGAAUGCAGAUGGCCUGGCUGUCAGCUCGGAGAGGCGAUUUUUCUGAUCUCCAAGGAGGUUUCCAGCAUCUUUCAUUAAGCACUCGUGUACCAACUUGUCAUUUUAACCGAGCAGCAAAGAAACUCCCACUCAACUGCCUACCUCAGGUGCUGGGAGUGCAAUCCUCGGAGGAGUCUUUCUGGGUUGCAGGUGCAGGGGAGGCGCCCAGGUGAUGGGGGUGGGGUGCAGCGAGAAAUGGAUUUAAAGCCACUCCAGGAAGGAAAUCGGAUCCCAAAACCUGGUUGUCCUGGGCACAGGCUUCAGGUGACUGCAGAAGAUUCCUCUCUAGCAAUCCUGAACUGAGCAGAGAUGUGAAAACUUACUUCUUUCCGCUUUCUCGAAGCGCUCCAGGACGCAGGUGGCACGCUCAACGCGGGGAGGCGCCACCUACAGGACAGAGGAAGACCUGCAGCUUGGGCUUGAGAUUUCAACAGUCUGUGGCGGGGGCUGAUGAGGGCGGCCCCUCCUCCUCCUGGAGUAAUAAUAGUCCCUGACAUUUAUCGAAUGCUCUUCUCGUGCCAGACACUGUCCUGAGCACUUGACAUGUAUUAAUGAUUUUAAACCUCACAACAACCCUAUUAGCAUUCAACUCUAUGGGCCCUCAAUUCUGCAGCUUUGGUUUACCAUUUUUUGAGACUCGCUUACUCGUCUGGAAAGGAAAUCUUUGCUAAGCUUGGUCUCUUGCACCUCUACCCUUUGCCACGAGAAGAGCAUGCCCUUGUCACUUCGGCCUGAGUCCCAGAAUGAGAAGUUACAUGGAGCAGACCUGAACAAGAUUCACAACCUGAACAGAAUCACUGCAGCCAAUCCACAAACCUAAAAUUGUCUACAUUCCUGCCUGGGCAUGGUGGCUCAUGCCUGUAAUCCAGCACUUUGGGAGGCCGAGGUGGGCGAGUCACUUGAGUCAGGAGUUCGAGACCAGCCUGGCCAACAUGGUGAAACCCUGCCUCUACUAAAAAUACAAAAAAUUAGCUGAGCAUGGUGGUGCAUGACUGUAAUCCCAGCUACUUGGGAGGCUGGGUCAGGAGAAUCGCUUUAACUGGGAGGUGGAGGUUGCAGUGAGCCAAGAUCACGCCACUGCACUCCAGAGUGGGAAACAGAGCAAGACUCCACCUCAAAAAGAAGAAGGAGAAGGAGAAGGAGAUUAUCUACAUUCCUGAGGAGGAGAAGUUGUACUUAAACUACCUUGAUCCAACUUCCAGCUUUACAAUCAUUGCCCCCCACCAUGCAUAUAUCAUACAUAUAUACCUGCUAGCAUGAAUACCUGCAUCAUAUCUAGAAUUAAUGGGAAUAGUCAUAGGGCCAAUCUUUCUUAUAUCAAGCAAGCUGAACAAGGGUCCAAGGGAUAAGGCCACAGCUACUUCCUCCUGCUUUAGAACAGAGCUAAAUAAACCUGUUCCUAAGUCUUGUGAGUUAUUGCAUCCUUGCCUUAUAAGGAAUGAAGACUUAACCUGCUUCCUGGCAGUCAUUACUAACUGAGUGAAGAUUCCCAUUAAUCCAGAAAUGGGAGCCUCUCUGGCUUGCAUAUGUCCAGGAAUGGACAUACCACCCACAGUUUUACUCCUGGUGGCCAAUCGGUCCCGCACACAAACACAGGCACAUCUUUUAUUUAAUGCUCAAGAUUUGUGAACAACUCCCAGCACUGUGCCUUCCAAAGGGCUUGCAUUAAGUGCUGGUGAAGGAGCAGGGACCUCUAUCAUGGCCAGAGCCAGUCAAUAAUGACACCCUGGCAGCUCUCAAAGGUGCACGAGUGGAAUGGCCAUUGAGCUACUCCAUGCAAUGAAAAGUUCUAAUGGGGAGUGGGGACACUUCUCUCCCCAGUCCCAUCCCAUGGCUUGGCUGAAAAUUUUUUUCUUUUGGGAGAUCACUGGCUUUCUCCAGCAACCUUGACUAUAAGGAUGAGGAUGAGGAGAAAAAAUAAGAACUGCCGAGUGUGGUGGCUCACGCCUGUAAUCCCAGCACUUUGGGAGGCUGAGGUGGGUGGAUCACAAAGUCAGGAGUUCAAAACCAGCCUGGCCAAGAUGGUGAAAUCCCGUUUCUACUAAAAAUACAAAAGAAAAAAAAAUUAGCCAGGCGUGGUGGCGAGUGCCUGUAAUCCCAGCUACUGGUGAGGCUAAGGCAGAGAAUUGCUUGAACCAGGGAGGCAGAGGUCACAGUGAGCCGAGAUCAUGCCACUGCACUCCAGCCUUUGCAACAGAGUGAGACUCUGUCUCAAAAAAAAAAAAAGUACACAGGGGAGGUUGUGGGGAAUUUGGAAUAUUCCCUAAGGAUUUCCUCCAUUGAAGAGGUCUGCUUUAAAGUACUGGGGGUCCACAAACUCACCCCAUUUCCAGCUUGGCCUUGGGAGAAGAGGAGGACAGAGAACAGAAUUCUGGAUUGUUACUAGGUAGUUGGGCUGCAUCAGGAAGACAUUUUGGUAGAAGGAGAGGAAAGAGAGGUAGGAAGUGGGAAGGGAAGCACUAAGGGUUUUUUUUUUGACCCUGAUCCCCUUAGCUAGACAAGCUCAGUGGGGCUUAGGAUGGAGGUCAGGGAUAGCCUAAGAUCCUGUUACUGAAAGGGUAGUCUCCAGCCAGCAGCAUCAGCAUCACCUGGCUCUUAGGCUUCACCCCAGACCUACUGAAUCAGAAACUGCAUUUUAAUCCCUAGGUGAUAAGUAUGUCCAAUAAAAUUUCAGAAGCAUUAGCCUAGAUGCUUCAAUGGGAAUAACUUCUUGCAGUGAGCUAUUGAGGAACUGUGCUGGAUAAUCUCUCUGCCCUUCCAAAUCCACUUGCCAUCCUUAUUCCCCUGCUCUUGGGACUAAGAAGUGAAUUGAUGAAUUCGCUUCCUUUAUUCAUUGCUUCAACAGGCUCCCUUGUCAUCUGGCUUCUGGUUGGGCUCAGCCAAUGGUCAGUGCUCAAGAAGCAGUGACUUAAGUGACAUUAAUAGUGACUUUACCAGCCAGGCAGGGUGGCUCAUGCCUGUAAUCCCAGCACUUUGGGUGGCCAAGACGGGUGGAUCACCUGAGGUCAGGAGUUUGAGACCAGCCUGGCUAACAUGGUGAAAUCCUG